This is a small nucleolar RNA of Carcharodon carcharias (great white shark), 77 nucleotides long. RefSeq annotates it as small nucleolar RNA SNORD19. The transcript has a single exon. The record is from RefSeq and is a predicted model, not a curated record. NCBI's taxonomy places the organism in Eukaryota, Metazoa, Chordata, Chondrichthyes, Lamniformes, Lamnidae.
GAGAAAUGAGGAUAACUUAAAUGGUCAGAAAAUAUAUGAUUGACUACUAAAGAUCCAACUCUGAUCUCACUCAGUAA